RNAcentral lists this transfer RNA (69 nucleotides) under Garrulax sannio (white-browed laughingthrush). RNAcentral describes it as "tRNA-Phe". The record is from RNAcentral. Lineage: Eukaryota; Metazoa; Chordata; Aves; Passeriformes; Leiothrichidae.
GUCCUUGUAGCUUAUACAAAGCAUGGCACUGAAGAUGCCAAGAUGGCUGCCACAAACACCCCAAGGACA